CAAAUAAAAAGCAAGAGAAAAGGGAAGGAGAAGAAGAAGAAGGAGAAGAGCAAGGGAGGAGGAAGAAGAGGGGAGCAAGGGGAGUGCCUAUAGAUUCAAGGAGUAUAAUCAAGAGGUGACGAGACACGGCGCGAGGCUAUCAGGGCUCCAUCAUCACCUAGGACUCGAGAUGUUGAUUCAGGGAACCCUUCGGAAACCAUGGCUGAAGAUUCAACUCUUUACGGAGGUGACCUCUGGGAUGAGGAGCUGGUUGAGCACGAGGAUGGAUACGUGUGUGAUGACUGUGCAUAUGAAGCAUGCUGAGGAUGAGAGUACCAUCUUCUAUUUUUUUUAUUCUUUUUGUACGUAUCAGAUAUAGUCAUAGGGGCAUGACUGUAAUUUUGAUUCCGAUGUGAAAACCUUCUUUUGAGUAAAUAUGUUAAAUAUCAUUAGAUAUCACCAGUUGUGUAUAUUUUGAUUUAUUAUUAUCUAUAUGAUCGUAGAAUCAUUCCAUA
Molecule: long non-coding RNA, 494 nt
Organism: Macadamia integrifolia
Lineage: Eukaryota; Viridiplantae; Streptophyta; Magnoliopsida; Proteales; Proteaceae
Exons: 3
Source: RefSeq, a predicted model, not a curated record